This 1624-nucleotide long non-coding RNA is filed under the name Jatropha curcas. RNAcentral describes it as "long non-coding RNA (JCUR_LNC002169)". Lineage: Eukaryota; Viridiplantae; Streptophyta; Magnoliopsida; Malpighiales; Euphorbiaceae. The record is from RNAcentral.
GAAUGCAACUUUACACGGAUGGAGCAAAGAUGCAGCAGGAAUCUCAUCCUUAUGAAAGGAAUAGAAUACUUCGUUUGGCGCAGCUUCCAAUAGGAUGCCUUUGCCAAGCUUUACUUCAGCAGGUCGAUAGAGCCAAUUAACACACAACUUGUUGUUCUCUUUACCAGUAGUCAGCCACCGAAUUAUUCCAAUGAAAGGUGGGGAAUCCCGGGGGGGUUUGAAAAGAGCACAAUCUCCAAUGCUGAUCUUGCGUCCGUCCUGUUAGAUAAAAGAAAACAGAGAACUUCAGUGAAAUGUUAUACACUUUAUCUGAAAAAAGACAGCUAAAUAAAAUUGCAUUUCUGAAUCAGUGAAUUUGGUCUUGCUGCCCAGGAAACAGCCUGGUUAGAACCAGACUUUGCAUCCAUUUCAGCCUCAACACGCUUCUUCCAUGUGUCGACCAGACUUCUAGCUUUCUUCUGAAUUUCCAAGUUCUUAUGUGUGCGCAGAUGGUUCACUGACUUGCCAAUGUUACACAUUUGUAAGGCGUGAAGAUUUACAGGGAGUUUAUCAAGUGCACGGAGUAAAACUAAAAGAAAUUCCUCUAUAGAUUUUUCACUAUCCUUGGAACCACUGCCAUCCCCAAUCUUCCCUUUAUGCACCUCCUGCAGCCAUUCGUCAAAUACAGGCAAGCCCCUAAGCUGCACAAAUCUAUUAAGGCAAUCAAACUUAUCUGUGCCCGCGACCACACCGGCCAGUACAGACCGACCAGCCAAGUCUAUCUUCUUUUCAUUUUUCUCAGGCAGCAUGAGCUGCACUAAUUUUUCAACACCUUCAGAAUCUACAAGCCCUCCCUUUUCUGUAAAUUUAGCAAUCUCAGACUUCCAAACGCUUUCAGGCCUAGAGUGUCCAGAACCCCCAUCAUCAAUUUUUGAAUAACGCUCUCGUUUAACAGGCUCAGAGCCUUGAUCUCCUCGCUCCCUUUUCUUUCCCUUAACUUGAGAAGGAAAGGAUGAGGCACCAUUGUGUACAUUAUCUGACCCAGGUUUUAGCUGUGAUGUUGAUGUGGGACCAUUCACUGGCUUUGGAGAACGUCCCCCUGGUUGCACAGUUGCAUGCAUUUCUAUGCUUGUCUUAUAUAAUAGCUGAUCUACUUCUUCUUGCCGUUCCUGUGAAAAAGAAAAGAAAUAUCAACUACCACUAAGGAUGGGUAAAACCAUAAGAAGUGUGCCAAAUAGAUAGAUUAACAUGCAAAAAGUGCAAGCAAAACAUACAUUAAUAUAAUCUUGGUCAGUUAGCCACCAUAAACACUUGUUUGUAAUGUCGUAAACUCGCCGGCACACAAAAGAGCAAAUUCCUGAUGGAAGUUCAACACCUUUUGCAAGGAAUGCAACUUUACACGGAUGGAGCAAAGAUGCAGCAGGAAUCUCAUCCUUAUGAAAGGAAUAGAAUACUUCGUUUGGCGCAGCUUCCAAUAGGAUGCCUUUGCCAAGCUUUACUUCAGCAGGUCGAUAGAGCCAAUUAACACACAACUUGUUGUUCUCUUUACCAGUAGUCAGCCACCGAAUUAUUCCAAUGAAAGGUGGGGAAUCCCGGGGGGGUUUGAAAAGAGCACAAUCUCCAAUGCUGAUCUUGCGUCCGUCCU